This 29-nucleotide small RNA is filed under the name Bombyx mori (domestic silkworm). Its description in RNAcentral is "ovarian small RNA-11342". The record is from RNAcentral. Lineage: Eukaryota; Metazoa; Arthropoda; Insecta; Lepidoptera; Bombycidae.
ACCUCGAGGACUUGGGGGCUGGGCCAGCU